RNAcentral lists this ribosomal RNA (212 nucleotides) under uncultured bacterium. RNAcentral's name for it is "partial 16S ribosomal RNA". It matches the Rfam family "Bacterial small subunit ribosomal RNA", at positions 1289 to 1500 of the family's 1533-position model. The record is from RNAcentral.
CAGUUCGGACUGUAGGCUGCAACUCGCCUACACGAAGUUGGAAUUGCUAGUAAUCGUGGAUCAGCAUGCCACGGUGAAUACGUUCCCGGGUCUUGUACACACCGCCCGUCACACCAUGGGAGCUGGUAACACCCGAAGUCAGUAGUCUAACCGCAAGGAGGACGCUGCCGAAGGUGGGAUUAGCGACUGGGGUGAAGUCGUAACAAGGUACC